AACUCUUUCAAAUCAAUUAUGAAUUGAAACUUAUUUUCAAUUCUCCCUUUAGUGAUAAUACACUUUUAGGGCUUCCACAAACCAUGAGUGACACCUAGCCGUAUGUCAUGGUUACCCAAGCUAAUCAGAAGAGGUUAAGAACCUAUUCAGUUUAGGAUUACAAAUGCAAUACGGUCAUUCUCUAAUACAAUACUCUCUUGACCACAUUGUUUGGUUUGAUAGUUUAUUCAUGUGUACUAUCCAAUGUGAAUCUUGUGCAUUAUAUGAUUACUUUGAAUGUGAUUUGGAACGCAUUCCUAAAUCUCAUUCAUACUCUGGCCAGAGAUUCUAAAUCAUAUCAUAGAGUAUUCUCCCUCAAACGGUUUGAAGGUUAGAGAUCCCUUGUUGCGCAUUCACUUGCCUCCAUGACUAAGUGGCUUAACCCCAACGAUGUCCGUGGACACCCCGAUGGGGUGACUUUGACAUAAUCAAAGAUCAAGGACUUAACCACAAGACAACUGUGAUGCCUCAGGUCAAAUGACUAAUUUGCAUUAUCCCAACCAUGAGUUCUCAUGUGACAUGAGUAUGAGAACUCUUCGUUGAUCGCGUUCAGUGAACUCAUUCUCUACUUGAGCACCUACGUACUUGUCUUAAUGUCACACACACCAAUGACUCGAGACUAGUCACUCUCCCUGAGAGAAGACAUAGCACGUACCGAUCUUGAACGGACUGUCAAUGCCCAAUUGGCAAUCCUAUGAUGAUCAGGAACAUUUUAGGAUGUGUCUACGAAAGAAUGGUCUCAUGAAUCUAACUUCAUUUAGAUUGCAUUCUCCCAAUCACAUAUUCCUUGGACUUUAUCGUUUAAGCAUAUAACAUUUAUAUGAGACGGCUCAAACAAUAAUCUUUGCCCUUUAUAUUAAACUAGAUUAGUUUAACAUGUGAAAUGUCCGUAAAGUAUCAUCAUAUGAUUGGUUUUAGGGCACAUUUCCAACAAUCUCCCACUUGCACUAGAGCCAAUCAGCUUGGUCAUCAGUGAUGAUACCUCUUCUGUAGUCAUUUCAUAAAUGGCUGAAUAGUAGGCCUAGACAAUGGAUAUCUAUAUGUUAUCCAUAGAAGCAACCUUGAGAAUAACGACGUCACCAUUAUACAUGAUUCUCAAUCAUGUGGUUCAGUCUCUCAUUUGAGUUCGGACCUUGAUGAGACCUUGAUUCCCUGGCUUGAGCUAUCGCCCCAUUAGUGUCAUAGUGUCAGUACACUAGAUACACUUUCUGGUUGGAACCGAAUAGAGAGUUCAUAAAUGAACUUUCCCAUCCAAACAACAUUGUUGUAAACUUCUAUAUAUGGCAAUAUAUUUUGCAUUCAUAAUGGAACACACUAAAGUCAUUACUUUAAUGUUUCCAUCCAAAUAUCUCUUUAGUCAUAAUAAAGAGAUAUCUGUUUAUCUCUUCAUUCAUAAUGAAGAAACAUCCAAUGAUGGAUUAGAUUCAUAAUCUAAUACAUUUACGCUUCCAUUACGUUACUCUAAUUCUUCCUCAUUCUUUGAGGAAUCUAUCCUUUAGUAUUUCUUAAAUACUUAAGGACUCACUUGACAGUUGCCAUGGUUCUGAUCCUGGGCUUGCACUGAUAUCGUCUUGUACCGUUCUAGGUACAACUCAUAUCAAUGUUUUUCAUACAAUAUGAAAUACAUAAAUCACCUUUAUGCGUAUGCAUAAAGGAUUCUAUUUACGCAUUAUUUCUUUGGGAGUCAAAAGGGCACGUUCCCUUUGAGAAGGGCAACUUGCUAGUCACACUAGAGUCAUCCUUCUAUUUGAAGUUUAUCAUCAUAUGAGAAACUUCCUAGCAUCUUUUGUCUAUUAUUAGGAAUUGAUAUAAUCCAAUUAUAUCCUAAAAAAUCUAUCAUUAUAGAUUUCUAUCCCAUGUAUAUAGACUAUGUCUCCCAUAUACAUUCUAUCGUUAUAGAAUGCUUUAAAGUCAUAACUUUAACGAAGAAGUAUUCUUUUUCAUUUCCAAAAUUAAUAUAUCAUAUAUACAUUCAUAUAUAUCACAUAUAUAUAUAUAUAUAUAUAUAUAUAAAUUUUGGGAAUAUGAUUAACUCCCACUAAUCUUUUGUAAACCUAGUAAACAAAAGAUUCAUUUACAUCUUUAUGAGAAAUCAAACGAUUUGAUCCUUUCUCUCAUAAGACGCUUAUAGCUCCCACUAGCUUGCUAAGAUUCCAUGAUGGAUGGAUCUCUACAACUUACAUGUCUUGUGAUUCAUAUAGUUUUAGACAUAUAUUAUUAUCAAGACUAUCUUAAUAAUGGUUUCGGAAACCCAUAUUAUGUCCAAACAUUGAAUCACCAUUUAGUUGUAGCUAGCUAUCUUCGAAUUAAUUGAAACCAAGACUACGUCAAAGAUGGUUUCUUCAAAGUCAACCAUUCUCUUUGAUUGUAGUCACCUUAAGCUACCAAUUAGCUAUGAAGGUUUCAUUAUUUCGAGUCAAAUGGUACUUUACCAUUUCCUUGAGUAUAUAUCAUAUAUAUACACUCAAUGUAGUCAUAAGGAUUUUCAUUCUUAUUUCUUUCGAAUUAAGAGGUGUAACUCUAUGACAUAGUCAUAAAGUUCAAACCAUUCAACUGAGACGGUUUAUAAAUCCUUCUCGACUACCUUGGAGCUUUUGGUAUAGGAACUAGGUUGUUAUAUUUGUUGAUUACUAUCUUGUCUCUCAAAGAACCCAUUCUUUGAGUUCUAUCUCUCGUUCAUUUGCUUUUAGGCAAAUCACAUUGUAGGAUUACAAUGAACUACCCAACAAAACAACAUUUGUUAGUUGGUUUAUAGAAGCGAUAUCCAAAAGUUAAUUUAAGGAUAUCCCACAAGAUUGUUAUCAAACAAAUAUUGCUUAUUAGCACACAACCCCAAAUCUUAACAUGCUUAAGAUUUGUCUUUCUUUCCAACUACAUCUUAUGGAGUCAUGAAAAAUUUGGAAGAUCUUCUAAUUGACAAUCAUAUUGUCUUAGAAGUAUAUAUCCUAUAUAUGGGUAAUUGAUAACAUCCAACGAACUAAAUCUUAUUCAAGUUCGUUCUUCUCCUAAUGGAGAAAUUUAUUAUCUUAUGAUGCUUCUUUCCUUGAUAUCUUUCAAGGAAACUGUUCUAAAGUGUUACCUUUCCUUGGAUCAAAUCUAAGGAGGUAAAUACUUUAGACGUCUUACUCAUCAACUUACAUUUCUUGAAUUCUUUGAAACCUUUUGCAAAGUAUUCGGACUUGUGUUUAUUCAAAAUAAACUAUAGUCCAACCGAGAGUGAUCUUCGGUGAAUGUCAUAUACAACAUGAGUAGUAUUAUGUUGUGACAAGUGCCACUAACAUCUAAGUGAAUUAACCUCAACAACUUUGUGAUUCUUUCUUCUUUUCCAAAAGAAUAAAGAUUCGAACAUUUCGCCUCUAUACAAUUUUAACAAGAAGGUAUUGGAUCCGGAUCUAACGAUCCAAAGCAUCCAUCUAUGACCAACUCGUAAUUUAUGUUUUAGAGGUAUCACAACUUUAGUUGGGAUUAGUCACUACCUUGCAACCUUUUGGGUUUUAAGCAUCAUUAUAUUCUAAACAGUUAACACUACCAUAUCAUCUCUACUAUAGAGACAAUCAAUUAGAUUACUAUAAUCCAAUCAUUGAUUAAUAAAGAACAAUGUUUUGUCAAACAAAACAUUCAUCCAUCUCUACUAUAGUGACGGAAUUAAGUUCCUUAAAAUUGGAAUGUAAAGACAAUCUUUGGUUUUUCCAAUUUCUUUGGUAGUUCAUAUGAGGAAGUAAGUACUAUCUGCUUUCGCAGAGAUCUAUAUUUUAUUCACGUUCCGAAUGUGAAGUACCUUUCUCUUCUCUCAUUAAUCUUCUACUUCUUAUUAGUCACACUUUUACAACGAUUGUAAAACAUAGUUACUAAUACGGAAUCAAGCAUUCAAGUAGAAGAACCAACUGUUUUGAACUAUUCAAGAACAAUUUACAACACCUUCGAAAGGUGUGUUCUUGACACUUGCAAGACAUUUCUUGCAAAUACCCCUUCCAAUGUCCAUCCUUUCAUAAAGAAAGUUUGUUCCCUUGGAGUUAUUUUAUCUUUCUUCAUUUGACUUCUCCUUUGACUACAAUAGUCAUGGUCCCUAAACUCCCACUAUCUCUCUUGAAACUUAUUUCAAUUGUGUUAUACACAUCAAACAUUUUGGAGAGCAUGUGGUUAUUGUUCACUAUAUAGUUUACAAUAAACUUAGUGAACCAUUAGGAUAGGGACACAAAGGUGAAGUCCUUGCCUAGUUUCCGUCUCGUUAAGUGGUUUAACACUUCAACACUCAAUGAUUCAAAAUCAUCAUAAGUCCAUGUUGAUGGACUAUUUUUGUCAACCAACCAUUAUGUUCUAAACAUAAUUACAAACUUUCAAGAGUUGUUUCAAAGCAACUCUCAUUUCUUCAUACAACAAUUUGUAAGUGAAGAAUCAUGGCACAUAAAGUGUCCAUGCCUUUGUGCUUUCUUCUCAAGUUCCUUGUUCAUGUAACAAAGAAACAAGCACUAAGUGUUUGCAUUGACUAAGGGUUGUUCAAAGCAACUCUAUUUUUCUUCAUACAACAUUUGUAAUUGAAGAAUUAUGACAUUUAAAAGUGUCCUUGUCAUUAUGCUAAUCUUCGUAAGUUCCUUUGUUCAUAUAACGAAGGAAUAAGCAUUGGUUGUUUGUGUUGUUCUCUUCAUGAUAGACUUUUCUAACAUGUUCUUCCAAUGAUACAUUAUCAUUAGGAAGAUUGUGAGGAUGAGACUACUUAGGUACAUAUUACAAUCCAUUUAAGACAAUCUUUGGGAUUGUGGUACCAAGUCCGGAAACUAAAACAUUCGGUUUUUAUUUGUCAAGUGUUGGAUAGCGUUUGCAAAUAUAUUGGUAAACAAAUACAUAACGAAUAUAAAUUGAUUGAUUUUAAGCCAUUUGAUUCGGGUCUUUAAAUCAAAUAGCACCACCCACUAUUUUUGGCAAAUUUCAUAUCCCUCAUUGGAAUUCGAGAGUUUUGGAUGAAACUCCUAGUAGGUUAUGGGAGGCUCACUAUUACCAAGCCCACCACACAAUGAUAUGAAAACUUUAUGCCUACUCCCACUUGAGGGAGGGCCGGUUUUGGAAGAAGAAAUGGAGUGAUGUGUGUGUUGAUUUGUAGUUUGACAUAAAGCAUGCAAGUGAUGCAAGUGGUGUGUAUGAAAGGAAAUUAAUCCUUUCACACCCACCAUAAUAUCUCUUACAUCUCUUACACCAUAUAAACAAAUAUCUAAAACAUUUAAACAUUUGAAAAAACAUAAAACAUAAACUUUAUGAAAUAAAUCAAAACUUUGAAUCAAAACACAAACCUUUUUGUUCUUGGCAAAAAUGUCAAGAACAAUGAAGAACAUUCAUGAAAAACCCAAAAUUUUUCCAUGAACUUUUUCCACCCAAAAACAUUCCCAAACCAUUCAAACUUUAGGGAAAUAACAUCUAACCAAACUAGGGUACAUAAGGGUUCCAAAAGUCACUUGAAAACACUUUUAACAAGUCAAACAAGAACCCAAAAAAUCACCCUAUAUAUUUGGCCGAAAAUUCCCAAAAGCAUGGCACCAAAUUUUAGCUCCAAUAUUCAUGCUCAUAUGAACUACAUCUACAACAUUUGAGAUGGCAAAUUUUCUAAUAAAAUUUACAUUCAAAGAAACAAGAAUAAAGCUUGUAACAUAUUACAACUUUUAAAUCACAAACUAUGAACUACAAAACCCAAAAGGAUUCACCAACUACUAGACCUAGGCUCUGAUACCACUUGAAGGAAAAUUUUGUGAAAACAUGUUCAUUUAAGCAACAUCAAUAAGCAUGCAAUUAACAAAUUAAAGGCGGAAUCAUGCUAGCAUGCACUUAAAAAACAAAACAUUAACCAAGAAAUUCAAAGCCUAGUAGAUUGGUGAACCAAUAAAAACUCAAAACAAAGUGAGUUGAAAUAUAUACCUUUGUAGAUUCCUCUUUGUAUUUAAACAAAGGCUAAUCACCCAAGAGAUAGGGCCUUCAUUCCUUGCAUCUUAGAUCCAUGGAUUUGGAUGGAUCUACACCAAAGGAGAGCAUGGAUGAUAAAUGAGUGACCAUGGAAGAAUAGAUGGCUAGCUACAAACUUCCAUGGUGGCCGGCCUUUCUAGAGAGAAAUGGAGAGACAAUUCUCACCAAUUUUCCCCAAAACAAAACCCUUAAUGAAUAAAAGGCUAUAAAAGUCAUAUUUAUACCCUUUAUUCAUUUGGAAGUGGCAAACUUGUAAUUAAAGCAAGUUCACUACCCUUUCUCUAUAUGGCCGGCCAUGGGGGGUUGUUUGGGCUUUUGGGUCUUAGUGAAUCAUUAUUCAUUAAGUUGUCAUACAACUUAAGUCAAUGGGCUUGACGUUCGAAGCCCAUUGGGCCUUAAGGUCCAAAACCUAUCCCGAGGUCUUUAACGAACUUAUUCGUUUGAUUAAUUAACAUAUUAAUUAAUCCUUGCCAUAAAUAAUUAAACUAUUCAAUUAUUCUUACUCAUUUAGUUUGUUUCAUCCAUCUCCACCUUAUACGGUGUACGAUCCAUUAGGUUCCUUUUAGCGAGGCAGUGGGCGAUCAAAACUCUUUCAAAUCAAUUAUGAAUUGAAACUUACUUUCAAUUCUCCCUUUAGUGAUAAUACACUUUUAGGGCUUCCACAAACCAUGAGUGACACCUAGCCGUAUGUCAUGGUUACCAAGCUAAUCAGAAGAGGUUAAGAACCUAUUCAGUUUAGGAUUACAAAUGCAAUACGGUCAUUCUCUAAUACAAUACUCUUGACCACAUUGUUUGGUUUGAUAGUUUAUUCAUGUGUACUAUCCAAUGUGA
RNAcentral lists this long non-coding RNA (6819 nucleotides) under Malus domestica (apple). RNAcentral's name for it is "long non-coding RNA (MDOM_LNC019304)". The record is from RNAcentral. Lineage: Eukaryota; Viridiplantae; Streptophyta; Magnoliopsida; Rosales; Rosaceae.